This 490-nucleotide ribosomal RNA is filed under the name uncultured bacterium. RNAcentral's name for it is "partial 16S ribosomal RNA". It matches the Rfam family "Bacterial small subunit ribosomal RNA", at positions 29 to 505 of the family's 1533-position model. The record is from RNAcentral.
AGUGAACGCUGGCGGUAGGCCUAACACAUGCAAGUCGAACGGCAGCACAGUAAGAGCUUGCUCUUACGGGUGGCGAGUGGCGGACGGGUGAGGAAUACAUCGGAAUCUACUUUUUCGUGGGGGAUAACGUAGGGAAACUUACGCUAAUACCGCAUACGACCUACGGGUGAAAGCAGGGGAUCUUCGGACCUUGCGCGAUUGAAUGAGCCGAUGUCGGAUUAGCUAGUUGGCGGGGUAAAGGCCCACCAAGGCGACGAUCCGUAGCUGGUCUGAGAGGAUGAGCAGCCACACUGGAACUGAGACACGGUCCAGACUCCUACGGGAGGCAGCAGUGGGGAAUAUUGGACAAUGGGCGCAAGCCUGAUCCAGCCAUACCGCGUGGGUGAAGAAGGCCUUCGGGUUGUAAAGCCCUUUUGUUGGGAAAGAAAAGCAGCAGGUUAAUACCCCGCUGUUCUGACGGUACCCAAAGAAUAAGCACCGGCUAACUUCG